Molecule: unclassified non-coding RNA, 249 nt
Filed under: Hevea brasiliensis (rubber tree)
Lineage: Eukaryota; Viridiplantae; Streptophyta; Magnoliopsida; Malpighiales; Euphorbiaceae
Source: RNAcentral
AGACCAAGUGGAAAAGGCUAACACCCAACUGAAAAAUAAGCAGCUCUAUUUAAUGGUAUGCACCACAAAAAGGUGUAGGAAGACUAUUUUCCAAAAUUAUAGAACCCAGGCUAUAUACACGUCAAAUUGCAAUAUGAACAGUGAUCGGCAAGACAUCCAUGUGCUCUAUCUAGUUAACCGCCAACAACGGACUGAUAUAGCUAUAGAAACAAUGAAAAACAACAUAAAAGAUACAACAGAACUCUUGCA